UACGGAGGGGGCGAGCGUUGUCCGAAGUUACUGGGCGUAAAGCGCGCGUAGGCGGGGAAUUAAGUGGGAGGUGAAAGGCUGAGGCUUAACCUCAUGCAGUGCCUCUCAUACUGGUUCUCUUGAGGGCGGUAGGGAGAAGUGGAAUGGCUGGUGUAGCGGUGAAAUGCGUAGAUAUCGUGAGGAAGACCAGUGGCGAAGGCGGAUCUCUGGACAGUUCCUGACGCUGAGGCGCGAAGGCCAGGGGAGCAAACGGG
This 254-nucleotide ribosomal RNA is filed under the name uncultured bacterium. Its description in RNAcentral is "partial 16S ribosomal RNA". It matches the Rfam family "Bacterial small subunit ribosomal RNA", at positions 524 to 776 of the family's 1533-position model. The record is from RNAcentral.